Molecule: ribosomal RNA, 253 nt
Filed under: uncultured bacterium
Lineage: Bacteria
Description: partial 16S ribosomal RNA
Rfam family: Bacterial small subunit ribosomal RNA
Source: RNAcentral
UACAGAGGGUGCAAGCGUUAAUCGGAAUAAUUGGGCGUAAAGAGUGCGUAGGUGGUUUGCUAGGUGCGUUGUGAAAGACUCGGGCUUAACCUGGGGGUGUCAACGCAAACGGGCGAACUAGAGUACAGUAGAGGGUCGUGGAAUUUCCGGUGUAGCGGUGAAAUGCGUAGAGAUCGGAAGGAACACCAGUGGCGAAGGCGACGACCUGGGCUGAAACUGACACUGAGGCACGAAAGCGUGGGGAGCAAACAGG